Molecule: long non-coding RNA, 1726 nt
Organism: Prinia subflava (tawny-flanked prinia)
Lineage: Eukaryota; Metazoa; Chordata; Aves; Passeriformes; Cisticolidae
Exons: 7
Source: RefSeq, a predicted model, not a curated record
CCUGCGGAGAGGCAAGAACGGGGCGGAGCUGGGCCUCGGGCCGGGAAAGCGCUGCUCCGUGAGGGGUUUGCCCACAGGCGCUCCCCUGGCCCAGCCGAGGCGCAGGCUGGAAAGUCCUGCUGCAAAUGCUAAACGAAAUGAAGUAAAGCUAGAAGGAGCUUCACUGCGUCCAGCUGCCUUCCUAAACCAGAAGCAACGUUUUGGAGUUAUGAUUUGAGAGGGCCCUUGACACGUAGAAGAGAUGGAACCCACAGUGGGUCAGUACAGAAGAAACAUUGACAUGACUCAAGGAAUGUUCACACAAUCACAAACUUGGACAAGGGCCAUGGACCCACUCCAUCCUGGUUUUAGUGCCUGUGCACUUAGGUUGAAGGACACUUGUACUGCAGAAGCUGUGAAGAACAGUGAAGAUAUCAGCAAUACCUGCCAGCUUUUAAUCUUGUCCCAGAGAUGUCGAAAUUCAUCAAAGUUUAUCUUCCCUGAGCCAUCUGUCUGUGGUGCAAACAUUCAGAGGAAAGUUUAGGUUGGUUCCCACUUUGCCAUCUGCAUGCUGUGGCAGUCAUGCAGCAGAGCAGCACUCUCCCUGUACGCAGAUGCUCCAGCCAUGCCCCCAGAUGCCAGAAGCCUGGAUGUGAGAUCUGGCUGUUAGGCUUUCUGGGAUAUGUAGAUCAGAACAAAUAAAUACAAACCUUGUAUGUUUUGAAGGCAAAUUGAUCUGCAUACCAUUUUCGUACUUCAGGAUUGGUGAAAUCCAGGGUAUAGGAGGGAUCAACCUUAAUAUGAGGAUCUAUGAUGACCACAAGCUGCCAGGCUAAGUACCUGCAAGCCAAACUUUGCAGCACAGUGGACUUCAGAAUCUGAAGGGUCUGAUUCCUACUGUUACCCUACUGAAUCCAGAGCAACUUUGGGCAAGCAACCAGAGAUCCUGCAGACUGACAAGCAGUGGAUUCAAGAACAGAAUCUGACCAUAUGGACUUUAUUUCUCUGACAUGGAAAACAGAAAAACAUGGUGCUAGUGUAAGACAUGAGAAAUAGCAUGAACAACUAGGGCAACUGCUUCCUGCCCUCUGUGUCUUGACUGUGAACUGAGGAAGUUUCUGUCACCAACAGAAAUUGCCUUCAGACUUCCCUCUUCCUACUGCAGCUGCUGGGUAGUGCUGGUUGCUAUAAAAGUCUGCUUGAUAAUGGUAAUGGACAAAGCUAACCAACUAAUUAAUAUAGAAUACAAUGAGAUGAACAGUAGAUCAGCAUAUAUUUAGGUAAUUUAUAAUUUAAAUUGUAUUUGAGCUACUACUCUCGUGUCUAUAACCUUCAUCUUUACCACUUAAAAUUGCUCCGUAUUUCCUUUUUUAGUCCACACUUCAAAAAACUUCCUUUGUGACAAUUAUUAAUGCUUAAAUACCAUUACAGGUGAAGUCAAUGUUAUGUACCAAUACUAAAAAAAAAAAAAAAAAAAAGAGAAAAGAAAAAGGAAAUGUAUUAUGUACAAUAUAUACAUAUACAUAUAUACAUAUAUAUUCAGACAAUGUGGAUAGUGUUAAUGCUGUGUCAGAAAUGGCAUACAGUGAGUUGAUGAAAUGGAUCACAUUUAAUGUGCUCCCUCUUCAGCAGAGAUCCAAUGAAUAUUUGCAGAGUUUUUGUCAAAUUGUUACCCAUCACUGAUUAUUAAUUAAAACAAAGUUAAGGCAACUGAAAAGCAGGAGUGAGUGGGACAUUGAUAAACAUU